GGUCAAAACAAAAACAAUAAACAAAACAAAACCACAUGUGGAUUUAGGAGACACGAAUAUCAGAAGAUAUAACGUAUUUGUUAUCUUGGUAGACGUAAAACCUCAACGCUACUGGAAUUCCUGUUUUCUUUUCAUAAUUGCAGUGUUGUUUUCAAGGUAUUUGUUUAAAUUUAUAUAAUUCAGAUCAGACCGCAUGUUAUUGUGAU
This 206-nucleotide long non-coding RNA is filed under the name Anneissia japonica. RNAcentral describes it as "uncharacterized LOC117105536, transcript variant X1". The record is from RNAcentral. Lineage: Eukaryota; Metazoa; Echinodermata; Crinoidea; Comatulida; Comatulidae.